RNAcentral lists this ribosomal RNA (468 nucleotides) under uncultured bacterium. RNAcentral describes it as "partial 16S ribosomal RNA". It matches the Rfam family "Bacterial small subunit ribosomal RNA", at positions 28 to 507 of the family's 1533-position model. The record is from RNAcentral.
GACGAACGCUGGCGGCGUGCUUAACACAUGCCAGUCGAACGGAAAGGCCCUGCUUUUGUGGGGUGCUCGAGUGGCGAACGGGUGAGUAACACGUGAGUAACCUGCCCUUGACUUUGGGAUAACUUCAGGAAACUGGGGCUAAUACCGGAUAGGAGCUCCUGCUGCAUGGUGGGGGUUGGAAAGUUUCGGCGGUUGGGGAUGGACUCGCGGCUUAUCAGCUUGUUGGUGGGGUAGUGGCUUACCAAGGCUUUGACGGGUAGCAGGCCUGAGAGGGUGACCGGCCACAUUGGGACUGAGAUACGGCCCAGACUCAUACGGGAGGCAGCAGUGGGGAAUAUUGAAAAAUGGGCGGAAGCCUGAUGCAGCAACGCCGCGUGCGGGAUGACGGCCUUCGGGUUGUAAACCGCUUUCGCCUGUGACGAAGCGUGAGUGACGGUAAUGGGUAAAGAAGCACCGGCUAACUACGUG